RNAcentral lists this ribosomal RNA (250 nucleotides) under uncultured bacterium. Its description in RNAcentral is "partial 16S ribosomal RNA". It matches the Rfam family "Bacterial small subunit ribosomal RNA", at positions 524 to 773 of the family's 1533-position model. The record is from RNAcentral.
GACAGAGGUGCCAAGCGUUAGGCGGAAUUACUGGGCGUAAAGCGUGCGCAGGCUGUUUUGUAAGUCAGAUGUGAAAUCCCCGAGCUCAACUUGGGAACUGCGUUUGAAACUACAAGACUAGAAUAUGUCAGAGGGGGGUAGAAUUCCACGUGUAGCAGUGAAAUGCGUAGAGAUGUGGAGGAAUAUCAAUGGCGAAGGCAGCCCCCUGGGAUAAUAUUGACGCUCAUGCACGAAAGCGUGGGGAGCAAAC